This 358-nucleotide transfer RNA is filed under the name uncultured Microcystis sp. RNAcentral describes it as "partial 16S-23S ribosomal RNA intergenic spacer". The stretch from base 133 to 206 matches the Rfam family "tRNA". Lineage: Bacteria; Bacillati; Cyanobacteriota; Cyanophyceae; Chroococcales; Microcystaceae. The record is from RNAcentral.
AAGGGAGACCUAAUUCCGGUAGGAAACGAAAAAAAAGUAGUCCCAACCAAGAAUCAAUCCCAAAAGGUCGGAACGAGGUAUGAGGCUUUCAAACUAGGUUCUGGGUUCAUAAAAGACCUGAAUCAGGAACAAGGGCUAUUAGCUCAGGUGGUUAGAGCGCACCCCUGAUAAGGGUGAGGUCCCUGGUUCGAGUCCAGGAUGGCCCACCUGCACAGGUGGCAAAAACAAGAGAAGCUCCGAAUCAGCACCUUAUCUUAUAUACAUAUAUAAGAGAGAAUGCUGGCUCUGAGUACAGAGUCCAGAGGAACCUUGAAAACUGCAUAGAGCUAGGUGAAAAAGCCAAAAAAGAAGACCGCAA